AUGGGUUCCAGGCUCUUCAAUUGCCUGGCCCUUUGUCUCCUGGUGUCAGGUCUAGUGGAUCCUAGAAUUAUCCAGACACCCAAACAUCUGGUGACAGUCAUGGGGAAUGAAAGGACCCUGAAAUGUGAACAGCAUCUGUCUCACAAUGCUAUGUACUGGUAUAGACAAAGUGCUAAGAAGUCCCUACAGCUCAUGUUUUCUUAUAACCUCCAAAAUCUCAUUGAAAACCAGACUAUCCCAACUCGCUUCCAACCUCACAAUCCACAGCAAUCCUACCUAGACCUUCAGAUCUCAGCCCUGGAGCCUGACGACUCAGCCACAUAUUUCUGUGCUAGCAGCCAAGACACAGCCCUGCAGAGCUCUUGCCCCCCUGUACACAAACCUCCUCAGUCUAUCCAGGAAACGGUUGCUGUAACAGGUCCACCUGAGCCUCGAGACACAGUCAGUAGUGCACAGGACUCAUGUGGAAACCUCAGACCACAACACCAGCUGCCAAUUAGAUAUCUUAUUCCCAAAUUCUGUGCCUGCAUAGCAGCAGUCUUUGCCUUGAGUGUGAUGGGGUCUAGAGUUGAAUAUGGGACUGACAAGCUCAAUUGA
Molecule: non-coding RNA, 597 nt
Organism: Peromyscus eremicus (cactus mouse)
Lineage: Eukaryota; Metazoa; Chordata; Mammalia; Rodentia; Cricetidae
Source: the annotation of a RefSeq genome assembly